ACCUGGCUGGCUCAGUCGGUAGAGCAUGCGACUCAAUCUCAGGGUUGUGAGUUCGAGCCCCAUGUUGGGCA
Molecule: transfer RNA, 71 nt
Filed under: Ailuropoda melanoleuca (giant panda)
Lineage: Eukaryota; Metazoa; Chordata; Mammalia; Carnivora; Ursidae
Rfam family: tRNA
About the family: Transfer RNA (tRNA) molecules are approximately 80 nucleotides in length.
Source: Rfam by way of RNAcentral